Molecule: ribosomal RNA, 627 nt
Filed under: Microbacterium sp. Ri2Ps_5103
Lineage: Bacteria; Bacillati; Actinomycetota; Actinomycetes; Micrococcales; Microbacteriaceae
Also listed under: 1 other name
Description: bacterial SSU rRNA
Rfam family: Bacterial small subunit ribosomal RNA
Source: RNAcentral
UGCAGCAACGCCGCGUGAGGGAUGACGGCCUAUCGGGUUGUAAACCUCUUUUAGCAGGGAAGAAGCGAAAGUGACGGUACCUGCAGAAAAAGCGCCGGCUAACUACGUGCCAGCAGCCGCGGUAAUACGUAGGGCGCAAGCGUUAUCCGGAAUUAUUGGGCGUAAAGAGCUCGUAGGCGGUUUGUCGCGUCUGCUGUGAAAUCCCGAGGCUCAACUUCGGGUCUGCAGUGGGUACGGGCAGACUAGAGUGCGGUAGGGGAGAUUGGAAUUCCUGGUGUAGCGGUGGAAUGCGCAGAUAUCAGGAGGAACACCGAUGGCGAAGGCAGAUCUCUGGGCCGUAACUGACGCUGAGGAGCGAAAGGGUGGGGAGCAAACAGGCUUAGAUACCCUGGUAGUCCACCCCGUAAACGUUGGGAACUAGUUGUGGGGUCCAUUCCACGGAUUCCGUGACGCAGCUAACGCAUUAAGUUCCCCGCCUGGGGAGUACGGCCGCAAGGCUAAAACUCAAAGGAAUUGACGGGGACCCGCACAAGCGGCGGAGCAUGCGGAUUAAUUCGAUGCAACGCGAAGAACCUUACCAAGGCUUGACAUAUACGAGAACGCUGCAGAAAUGUAGAACUCUUUGGA